This 246-nucleotide ribosomal RNA is filed under the name Triticum aestivum (bread wheat). Its description in RNAcentral is "partial small subunit ribosomal RNA". The record is from RNAcentral. Lineage: Eukaryota; Viridiplantae; Streptophyta; Magnoliopsida; Poales; Poaceae.
AUGGCUUCUUCCUCCAGCGCCCGAAGCAGCCGUGUGGCCACAUGCCUCGUGCUGCUUCUCCUGGCCGUCAGCCUCCGAGAAGCCUCGGCCGCGAGGCCGCUCCGGCCAGCCGUCGACAUGCCUAGCGAGGUGCUCAAGGACCAGGUGAUCGUCAACAAGUACGCGCCGCUUCUGCUCGCCAUGCUGCCGAGGGGCCCCGUGACGCCGUCCGGCCCCAGCGGCGGCACGAACGAGGCCGGGAACUGA